RNAcentral lists this small nuclear RNA (119 nucleotides) under Trifolium pratense (red clover). Its description in RNAcentral is "snRNA U5". It matches the Rfam family "U5 spliceosomal RNA". From Rfam's summary of the family: U5 RNA is a component of both types of known spliceosome. The record is from RNAcentral. Lineage: Eukaryota; Viridiplantae; Streptophyta; Magnoliopsida; Fabales; Fabaceae.
AGCCAUGCAAUGACCACAAAGCGAACUAUUCUUUCGCCUUUUACUAAAGAAUACCGUGUGCUCGUUGCUUCAAAUGGCAUACCUCUAUUUUUGUAAGGUGGUCUUCUGUUUGAAGGCCC